CCCUUAGAUGUUCUGGGCCGCACGCGCGCUACACUGAUGCAUUCAACGAGUGUACCUUGGCCGAGAGGCCUGGGCAAUCUUUUGAACGUGCAUCGUGAUAGGGAUAGAUUAUUGCAAUUAUUAAUCUUGAACGAGGAAUUCCUAGUAAACGCAGAUCAUCAAUCUGCAUUGAUUACGUCCCUGCCCUUUGUACACACCGCCCGUCGCACCCACCGAUUGGAUGGUCCGGUGAAGCCUCGGGAUUGUGGCGGUUGCCUUUAUUGGUGGCCGCCGCGAGAACUUGUCUAAACCUUAUCAUCUAGAGGAAGGUGAAGUCGUAACA
This 322-nucleotide ribosomal RNA is filed under the name uncultured eukaryote. RNAcentral describes it as "partial 18S ribosomal RNA". It matches the Rfam family "Eukaryotic small subunit ribosomal RNA", at positions 1470 to 1796 of the family's 1831-position model. The record is from RNAcentral.